UUGUUAGUCCUAGAAACACUAACGAAUAAGGGGUGGGCAAGUUCUGGUGUCAGCCGCCGCGGUAAAACCAGCACCUCAAGUGGUCAGGAUGAUCUAAAGCAUCCGUAGCCGGCUCUGUAAGUUUUCGGUUAAAUCUGUACGCUUAACGUACAGGCUGCCGGGAAUACUGCAGAGCUAGGGAGUGGGAGAGGUAGACGGUACUCGGUAGGAAGGGGUAAAAUCCUUUGAUCUAUUGAUGACCACCUGUGGCGAAGGCGGUCUACCAGAACACGUCCGACGGUGAGGGAUGAAAGCUGGGGGAGCAAACCGGAUUAGAUACCCGGGUAGUCCCAGCUGUAAACUAUGCAAACUCAGUGAUGCAUUGACUUGUGGUCAAUGCAGUGCUGCAGGGAAGCCGUAAGUUGCC
RNAcentral lists this ribosomal RNA (406 nucleotides) under uncultured bacterium. RNAcentral describes it as "bacterial SSU rRNA". It matches the Rfam family "Archaeal small subunit ribosomal RNA", at positions 408 to 825 of the family's 1478-position model. The record is from RNAcentral.